AUCCAAUUGGCUGACAUGCAUAACAUGAGUGCAGUUAUUUAAGCCCACAAUGUUGUGGCAAAAAAGUAUACAACAAAAGAAUUCAAGGUAGACACAUCUCUUAUAGGCCUAUCCAGCAGGAAAAAAACUAAGUUUGCCGUUUGGAACACAAAUUUCCUCAGGGUCCCACAAACUACGGGCCGGGAGGAUAUUAUUCUAAUCACUUGACAAGAGUGAUUAGAAGAUCUAAGUCAUCAUAUCCUGGUGUUUUAAAAUCAAGCAGUAUGGUGUCAGAAGAAGCAGUAGAAGAACAAAGGGCAACUCUGCAAGCAACAUGGAAACAAACACCCCUAACAGUAACAAUAGCAAUGACAGUCGCAGUAGCUGCAGUAGUAGUAGCAAUGGUGGGAACAACAAUAGCUGAAGCAGUAGUAGGAGCAACAGGAGGAGCAGCAGCAGCAGCUGGAACUGGCAUUUUACAAUCACUAUGGGAAGAAAGUAGAACAGGAGCAGCAGCAGUAGCAGUAACAGCAGUUGCAGGAGGCCUGGCAGGAACAGCAGCAGCAAUCUUGCGAUCACUGGUAGCAGCACAAUCAUUAACAGGAUCAGCAGUAGCUGGAGCAAUGGCAGGAGCUGCAAUAGUAGCAAUAGCAAGAACACAAUUACAGUGGGUGAUAAAUAUACUACAGAUGGCAACAGAUAAACUACAGUGGGUUUUAGCCUUUGUUAAAAGAGUAAAAGCAGCAGUACAAAGGGGUAGAAAAGUAUUACCCACAGCAACACUAAUUGUAGGAUCAGGAUCAGCAGCAAUAGCAGCAGCAACAGCAUCAUCAGGAGGAACAUCACAAGCACAAUCAGCAUUAUCAGGAGGAGCAUCACAAGCAGA
This is a long non-coding RNA of Ctenopharyngodon idella (grass carp), 865 nucleotides long. RefSeq lists it as uncharacterized. The record is from RefSeq and is a predicted model, not a curated record. The transcript is spliced from 3 exons. NCBI's taxonomy places the organism in Eukaryota, Metazoa, Chordata, Actinopteri, Cypriniformes, Xenocyprididae.